Molecule: ribosomal RNA, 463 nt
Filed under: uncultured bacterium
Lineage: Bacteria
Description: partial 16S ribosomal RNA
Rfam family: Bacterial small subunit ribosomal RNA
Source: RNAcentral
GACGAACGCUGGCGGCGUGCUUAACACAUGCCAGUCGAGCGGAAAGGCCACUUCGGUGGUACUCGAGCGGCGAACGGGUGAGUAACACGUGAGUAAUCUGCCCCUCACUUUGGGAUAGCCACCGGAAACGGUGAUUAAUACCGGAUAUGACCAUAUGUCGCAUGGCGUGUGGUGGAAAGUUUUUCGGUGAGGGAUGUGCUCGCGGCCUAUCAGCUUGAUGGUGAGGUUAUGGCUCACCAUGGCUUCGACGGGUAGCCGGCCUGAGAGGGUGACCGGACACACUGGGACUGAGACACGGCCCAGACUCCUACGGGAGGCAGCAGUGGGGAAUAUUGGACAAUGGGCGGAAGCCUGAUCCAGCAACGCCGCGUGAGGGAUGACGGCCUUCGGGUUGUAAACCUCUUUCAGUACCGACGAAGCGCAAGUGACGGUAGGUACAGAAGAAGCACCGGCCAACUACGUG